This 399-nucleotide ribosomal RNA is filed under the name uncultured bacterium. RNAcentral describes it as "bacterial SSU rRNA". It matches the Rfam family "Bacterial small subunit ribosomal RNA", at positions 29 to 453 of the family's 1533-position model. The record is from RNAcentral.
AGCGAACGCUGGCGGCAGGCUUAACACAUGCAAGUCGAGCGGGCGUAGCAAUACGUCAGCGGCAGACGGGUGAGUAACGCGUGGGAACGUACCUUUUGGUUCGGAACAACACAGGGAAACUUGUGCUAAUACCGGAUAAGCCCUUACGGGGAAAGAUUUAUCGCCGAAAGAUCGGCCCGCGUCUGAUUAGCUAGUUGGUGAGGUAAUGGCUCACCAAGGCGACGAUCAGUAGCUGGUCUGAGAGGAUGAUCAGCCACACUGGGACUGAGACACGGCCCAGACUCCUACGGGAGGCAGCAGUGGGGAAUAUUGGACAAUGGGCGCAAGCCUGAUCCAGCCAUGCCGCGUGAGUGAUGAAGGCCCUAGGGUUGUAAAGCUCUUUUGUGCGGGAAGAUAAUG